Molecule: non-coding RNA, 119 nt
Organism: Pteropus alecto (black flying fox)
Lineage: Eukaryota; Metazoa; Chordata; Mammalia; Chiroptera; Pteropodidae
Source: Rfam
GUCAACGGCCAUGCCAUCCUGAACAUGCCCAAUCCCGUCUGAUCUCGAAAGCUAAGCAGGGUCAGGCCUGGUUAGUCCUUGGAUGGGAGACCGCCUAGAAAGACCAGGUGCUGUAGGCA